AUUGAACGCUGGCGGCAUGCUUUACACAUGCAAGUCGAACGGCAGCGCGGGCUUCGGCCUGGCGGCGAGUGGCGAACGGGUGAGUAAUUCAUCGGAACGUGCCCAGUAGUGGGGGAUAGCCCGGCGAAAGCCGGAUUAAUACCGCAUACGACCUGAGGGUGAAAGCGGGGGACCGAAAGGCCUCGCGCUAUUGGAGCGGCCGAUGUCGGAUUAGCUAGUUGGUGGGGUAAAGGCUUACCAAGGCGACGAUCCGUAGCUGGUCUGAGAGGACGACCAGCCACACUGGGACUGAGACACGGCCCAGACUCCUACGGGAGGCAGCAGUGGGGAAUUUUGGACAAUGGGGGCAACCCUGAUCCAGCCAUGCCGCGUGCGGGAAGAAGGCCUUCGGGUUGUAAACCGCUUUUGUUCGGGAAGAAAUCCCCUGGGCUAAUACCCCGGGGGGAUGACGGUACCGGAAGAAUAAGCACCGGCUAACUACGUG
Molecule: ribosomal RNA, 484 nt
Filed under: uncultured bacterium
Lineage: Bacteria
Description: partial 16S ribosomal RNA
Rfam family: Bacterial small subunit ribosomal RNA
Source: RNAcentral